CCUACGGGAGGCAGCAGUAGGGAAUCUUCCGCAAUGGACGAAAGCCUGAUGCAGCAACGCCGCGUGCGGGAUGAAGGCUUUCGGAUCUGUAAAGUUCUGUUGUUAGGAAAGAACAAGUUCAGGGUGUAUCCCCUGGCGCCUUGACGGUACUGUCCAGUAGCG
RNAcentral lists this ribosomal RNA (162 nucleotides) under uncultured bacterium. Its description in RNAcentral is "partial 16S ribosomal RNA". It matches the Rfam family "Bacterial small subunit ribosomal RNA", at positions 338 to 492 of the family's 1533-position model. The record is from RNAcentral.